This 257-nucleotide ribosomal RNA is filed under the name uncultured bacterium. RNAcentral's name for it is "partial 16S ribosomal RNA". It matches the Rfam family "Bacterial small subunit ribosomal RNA", at positions 793 to 1055 of the family's 1533-position model. The record is from RNAcentral.
GUCCACGCCGUAACGAUGUCGACUAGCCGUUGGGCCCUUUAGGGUUAGUGGCGCAGCUAACGCAUUAAGUCGACCGCCUGGGAGUACGGCCGCAAGGUUAAACUCAAAUGAAUUGACGGGGCCCGCACAAGCGGUGGAGCAUGUGGUUUAAUUCGAUGCAACGCGAAGAACCUUACCUACCCUUGACAUGUCUGAAAUCCCCGAGAGAUUGGGGAGUGCCUUCGGGAAUCAGAACACAGGUGCUGCAUGGCUGUCGU